This is a non-coding RNA of Durio zibethinus, 2119 nucleotides long. The record is from RefSeq and is a predicted model, not a curated record. Lineage: Eukaryota; Viridiplantae; Streptophyta; Magnoliopsida; Malvales; Malvaceae.
AAUAGAUUAAAGAUCUUUGGGUUAAAACUUUGAAACCUAAGAAUCAAAGCAAAGAAUCUUCACUGGUAGAGUGCGGGUGUGCACAGUAACUAUUUGAUGCCAUCCGUUCUAAAUAAAUGAAUUGCUGUCCGGGGUCUCCUUCUUUGACUAGUCAAUUUCAGUGGUACUACCUGCUUUGUGAUAAUAUUAAAUGCUUCUUUUACCAAGUUGUCUUCCUCAUUACAUAUAGAGAUAUAUGGAAGGUUUACAUUUUCGCUGCUUUUACAUGCAUGCAUCAGUUUUGUUUUUGAAGCUCAUUUUCAUGAAACAAAAACCAGAUGGUCAACGGAUAUGGGGAAAUCAGUUCGAACCAUUUUGUUUGUCUUGUUGCUGUCUUCGUUUCUGUUUCUGGUCUUUUUGUUGUUUUCAGUUUCUAGCUUCUCUGAUUCAUCUCCGGGCCCUAAAAGCAGCUUCAAACCCAGCCCUGUCACGUUGCAGACCAGCCGCUUCCUUCAGUCUUUUCAUGAGCUUUUCGUCGGAUACAGAAACGGUGCAACUUCAAGUCCAGAGAGUUUACAUGAGAAGAAAGGUAAUUCUAAUAUGAGUAGGCCAUUGAAAGAGGAUUUCACAUUUCCUACCGGUUCUGCUCCUUUCAACAGUUGUCAUGCCUCUACCAUUGUUGAGGUUGGUAAAGGUCACUUCUUGGUUGCUUAUUUUGGAGGAACAUCUGAAGGAGCAGCUGAUGUGAAAAUUUGGUUGCAGAAAUAUAAGGGUGGCCGCUGGUACCCACCUAUUAUUAUGGAUGAAGAGCCUAAUGUUCCAAUGUGGAACCCUGUACUAUUUAAACUUCCAUCAGAUGAGCUGCUAUUGUUCUAUAAAGUGGGCUUGGAAGUUCAAAAGUGGAGCGGGUGCAUGAAGCGAUCAUAUGAUAAAGGUGUCACUUGGACAAGGAGAGAACAGCUUCCUCCUGGAAUACUAGGACCAUCUAAGAACAAGCCUCUCUUGUUGGGGAACAGGCUUUUGCUAUGUGGAUCCUCAGUGGAGAGUUGGAAUUCUUGGGGGGCAUGGGCUGAGGUUACAGAAGAUGCUGGCAGAACCUGGAAGAAGUAUGGUCCUAUAUAUGUUAAAAAUGAAACUCUCAGUGUGAUUCAACCAGUUCCUUUCCUAACUGCAACAGGCACCUUGCGUUUUUUAUUGCGCUCCUUUAAUAACAUUAGUAGAGUUUGUAUGGCAGAAUCAUUUGAUGGUGGACAGAAUUGGGGUUUUGCCACACCUACUGAGCUCCCCAACCCAAACUCAGGUAUCGAUGGCGUCAAGCUGAGAGAUGGUCAUCUGUUACUUGCUUAUAAUACAAUCUCAAGGAGUGUGCUUAAAGUUUCCCUAUCCAUAGAUGAUGGUGAUUCAUGGCAGGACAGUUUGACACUGGAAGAGACACAAGGAAUGGAGUUCUCAUAUCCCGCUGUCAUCCAGGCUAGUGAUGGAUUAGUUCACAUCACUUACACGUAUAAUAGGACCCAGAUUAAGGUAACAACCUGGAUUCAGAUAUGAGAAAUGGAUUAAUUCAUUCCCUUUCCCUUAUUCAGUUUCACCAGAAAAAGUCAUUUCAUUAUAUUUUCUCUUGCUUACUUGAGCUGAAAUUUGUUUUUGCAGCAUGUUGUUCUUCAACCAAAUUGACCCAGUGGUUUAUAUUCCUCUGUCAGUCAGAGAAACCAUUGUUUUAGAGCGCUGCGUAUAACCAUCAGCUACCUGUAUCCCCUCUUUCAUUAUUGAAACUAUCUGCUAGUGCCAUAACUUUUGAUAUCUUUGUAAUGUUUCAUCCUAAGGAUAGGCUUCAGUACUGUAGAUUCAAUGGCAACUUGUUUUGAUGGACUACAGCAUCACUUGCAUGUCCUUGAAGAUCCUCUGGAGCCUGGAGGGCAUUAAGCCGCCACUCUUUCUUAGCAAUAUGUUUGGAAAAAAGGAAAAUGAGUUCAAAAUAUUCAACUAAAAUAAUUUGUACCAUAUCCAAUAUUUUGCUUGAAUGUAGCUUCAGACAGAACAGAAUACAGGUGCCUGAUGAAAGUGUUAGGAAUAGUGACUCAAAUUCCAUAAAAGAUUCGUUUGGGAUUAGCUAGAUAUUGCUUGAUGGACAAGAAGACUU